This is a long non-coding RNA of Etheostoma cragini (Arkansas darter), 171 nucleotides long. RefSeq lists it as uncharacterized. NCBI's taxonomy places the organism in Eukaryota, Metazoa, Chordata, Actinopteri, Perciformes, Percidae. The record is from RefSeq and is a predicted model, not a curated record. The transcript has 3 exons.
UACAAAUAAUAACCAGAAACCUACCACGUGCACUGCCGCGAGCUCCUUUAUAAGUUUAUCUUUGAUGUGAUCCGCUGUAAUAGCCAUGUCUGCGUGAACAAAACAUAUAUUGUCAGUAACGUGUUUGAAUAUCAGUUGCAGUGGGGCUAAAUGUGCACAGCUAUCUAAAUG